CAGGCUCAUCUACUCCACUUUUUAAACUGACUGUGUAAAAAGGCAUCCAGAGUUAUCAUCUGUAUCUGUUUCCUUGCUGAUGCCUCUCACAGGGAUGAGACUGCUCUUUCAGACAGCUGUAUGACUGCAGCCUCAGACAGGGAGAGGAGAGAAGGCUGCAGAAGCCAUCCUCUUUCCUUCAGCUGACAGUGAAAAGCAGAUUUCUUGAUUGUAUGCAAAGGAUAUUGGAAAUGAUAAACUACAGUGGAAUUAUUCAAGAUGUGGGGUAAUCUUUAAGCAGAAAAUACACUGGCAGGUUGGUUUUGCUUUUUUUUUUUGAAAGCCUAGUUCAAAGAGUAUGCAGGCAUAUAAU
This 352-nucleotide long non-coding RNA is filed under the name Cyanistes caeruleus (blue tit). Its description in RNAcentral is "lncRNA (ENSCCEG00000015034.1)". Lineage: Eukaryota; Metazoa; Chordata; Aves; Passeriformes; Paridae. The record is from RNAcentral.